RNAcentral lists this ribosomal RNA (516 nucleotides) under Acinetobacter baumannii. Its description in RNAcentral is "bacterial SSU rRNA". It matches the Rfam family "Bacterial small subunit ribosomal RNA", at positions 1 to 497 of the family's 1533-position model. Lineage: Bacteria; Pseudomonadati; Pseudomonadota; Gammaproteobacteria; Moraxellales; Moraxellaceae. The record is from RNAcentral.
UGCGGAUCCGCCGGCCGCUGCAGAGUUUGAUCCUGGCUCAGAUUGAACGCUGGCGGCAGGCUUAACACAUGCAAGUCGAGCGGGGGAAGGUAGCUUGCUACCGGACCUAGCGGCGGACGGGUGAGUAAUGCUUAGGAAUCUGCCUAUUAGUGGGGGACAACAUCUCGAAAGGGAUGCUAAUACCGCAUACGUCCUACGGGAGAAAGCAGGGGAUCUUCGGACCUUGCGCUAAUAGAUGAGCCUAAGUCGGAUUAGCUAGUUGGUGGGGUAAAGGCCUACCAAGGCGACGAUCUGUAGCGGGUCUGAGAGGAUGAUCCGCCACACUGGGACUGAGACACGGCCCAGACUCCUACGGGAGGCAGCAGUGGGGAAUAUUGGACAAUGGGGGGAACCCUGAUCCAGCCAUGCCGCGUGUGUGAAGAAGGCCUUAUGGUUGUAAAGCACUUUAAGCGAGGAGGAGGCUACUUUAGUUAAUACCUAGAGAUAGUGGACGUUACUCGCAGAAUAAGCACCGGC